RNAcentral lists this ribosomal RNA (253 nucleotides) under uncultured bacterium. RNAcentral describes it as "partial 16S ribosomal RNA". It matches the Rfam family "Bacterial small subunit ribosomal RNA", at positions 524 to 776 of the family's 1533-position model. The record is from RNAcentral.
CACGUAGGGCGCAAGCGUUGUCCGGAAUUAUUGGGCGUAAAGAGCUCGUAGGCGGUCUGUUGCGUCUGCUGUGAAAACUCGGGGCUUAACCCCGAGCCUGCAGUGGAUACGGGCAGACUAGAGGUAGGUAGGGGAGAAUGGAAUUCCCGGUGUAGCGGUGAAAUGCGCAGAUAUCGGGAGGAACACCAAUGGCGAAGGCAGCUCGCUGGGACGUUACUGACGCUGAGACGCGAAAGCGUGGGGAGCAAACAGG